CAGCUCCUCCAUGCCCACAGAAAGGCUGCCCUGGGAGUGGGGAGGGAGAGCACCAGGGCCAGGCUCUUGGAGAACCUCAGGCUUUCCUCCUCAGGAAGGAAAAUCAACAGACCUGCUUAGCAGAGCAGAGAGGAACAGCAGCUCUCAAGGGAAAAAUAGAGAUGAGAUUGGCAGUGGGGCCCACCAGGGUCAUUCAACAUUUGUUUGUUACCCUGGUUCUGCUCAUCUGAACCUUGCAGAGCCUGGGUUUGAGAUCCAAGGGAGAAAAAAAAAAAUCUGUGUGUGCACAUUAAUAAAUUGUGUGGAACAAAGCUGUGCAUGAAGCCCAUCACCCUCCCUGGGAAAUCACCUGGUGUGCACUGACCCCAAGUUAAACCUAACCCAGCUCCCUCCUCACACAGCUCUGCUGCUCACCCCAACCUGCAGAGACCCUCCCCAAAACCAAGCACCCAGAAGGGGCUGGUCUUGCAGGACUGGGUGCUUGCAUGACUGUUUUAGAGCUGGAGUGUUUAGGAUGCUCAAUUCCCACCCUAAUGGGCCCAAAGAGCAGAAAUGUGUGAAGGCCUCGUGCAGAAAGGCAGCUGGCUGCUCUGCUCCUGGAGAUGUGGGUUCAGUGGUGCUGUCUUGGAGCAGGAGCUGUGGCCAAGCCCAGCUUGUUCCCAUCCCUUGCUGGGAACAGAGAGUGGCAGACUGGGAAUUGCCAGCUGUGACACUGCAGGGACUGCCUGGGACACACGGACACUGCCCCGUGCCCUGCCCACAGGCUCUGUGCCCAUCCUAAAGGCCUCUGAAGCAGCUCCAGUGGCAUGAGGAAGAGUGAGAAUGAGAAGAGAGGACAUCUGUGCACACUCCUGGUGGCCAAGGCCAGCUCCUGCCUCCUUUCUGUGCCCGAGCAGCAGCGAGGCCACAGCAGGAGGGACAGGGGGAUGCUGCUGCUGCUUGGACACCAUGCUCAGGGGGGUUUUGUGCUCCCAUCUCCAGCCUCUCUGUUUUUAAAGCCAGGCUGCUUAUUAGCAAUGCACAGCAGCACCAAGCAAUAACUUUGUACUGCAGUUUCUCUCUUAAUCAAAUGCAGCUUCACAGAGCCACGCUGAUCUAAUUGUUCAGUGUCCAGGUUCCCUGCCUCUGCAGAGAUAAAUACUCUGAGGAGCUGCAUUUUGACUGGCAUCCAAAACUCACCACUGGCUGCUGUGAUUGUGAUUUAUUGCUGCUGAUAACAAUCAAUCCCAAGGCAACCAUGUGCAUUUGAAGUGAUUCAGGGCUGAGCAAGGGGGGAAUGAAUACCCACGGGGAGCUGACAAGUGAUGAGUCCUGCACUGAAUGCUCUCCCCCAUUUCUGCAUUGCAAACCCCACCCCAAGCUCACUGCGUGGAGGGCUCCGUGUCACCUCUCCCCUGCCAAGUGCAGUCUGCUCAGCCAAAGCUCUAAACUUCAUUUAUGCACCUUUCAGUCUUACCUGACAACAGGCUCUCCGUGGGCAGAGGACAGGGACAAAACUCCAGAGUGCUGCAGCCACCAGCCUGACCUGCUGGGCAGGAUAGUCUCCAGCAGCCAGCAAGCCCUGCUCAGCCAGGACAGGCUCCCCAGGGCACAAGGCAGAAGGGAAGGGGGCCUGGAGCUGCCAUGAUCAAUGGGCUUCAGCCACAGAGCAAGAAAAAGCACACCUACAGCUCUGGCAGAGCAUGGCUCCAGGACAGCCUGAAACCCCCUUUUGUGUACCCUAAAAAAUGCCUUAAAUUCCAAUCUCAGCUCAAAAAAGGUGGCUGCUGUUUCAGAGGGUUUAUCUUUUCUUCAUAUCAUCCAGGCAGCUUCAGAAACCUGGUCAGGAAAGACUCUGCAAAACCUCCUGUAGCUCUGACUCACCAGAAGAGCAGAAAAACCCUCAGAACAAAUCUCCACCUUCCCUGGAGCUCCUUAAAUUUGCCUCCUGGGCCAUGGCAAAAUUGUGCCCACCUGGGCCACAUCCCCCACCUGGGCCAGCUGCCCUCCUGCCUGGCCCUGAGCGAAGCCCCUGAUGUUCCAAGGAGAGGGGAGAGCUGUCUGCAGGGCUCCUGAGCAGGGAAGAGGGAGGGGCAAUCAGUUUUGACCCCAUCAGACCUUAAAUGAAGGGACCCUUGGGCAGUAGGACAGUAAUUAUUUCUUCUUCUCUCCUGUCUGCUCUUUUGUUUUUGCUACUGUUACACAGCCCUGUUGUAUGCCAAAGCAAUUGGAAUUUAUUCACUUUUUUAUUUUAAGGGAUAGCAGCAAGUGUUUGGAGUAAAUUCCCAUUACAGUUGGGAGAGUCAGCAGCAGGAUCCCCGUGAGAGCACGUUGCUUUCUUACCAAACCUCAGUGAAAGCCAUCACUGCAGGGAGAAUGUUUCCAGCCACUUUAUUCAGGGUUUCUGUCCCUGGUCAAGGCUUCCCCUCCCUCAGUGGUGAGACAGGGCUCUGCCUGCACAGCAUGGAGGGGAAAACCUCAAUAAAUCAACCCAGAGAAAUGCAGCUUGAGCAGGCUAAAAAGCCAAAAAAGCAAGAGGCUGAUGCCAGGUUUCACUCCCCAAAGCACUCCAGGUCAUCCCCGUCCUUCCUGGGAGGGAAUCAGUGAUGGGACCAUCCCUGAGCACCAGAGCUGGACAAGCCCCAAAGGGGCUUUGCUUGGUGCCCUGAAGGCACAAACCAGAUUAAACACAGGCAUGAGCCUGAGCAAUGAAUCACCUGCCAGGAGAGCAGGAGCAGGAUGGACAGGACCCCGAGGAUGGCAGGGAGGCAGCAGCACAGAGGAAGAGCUGGAUCAGGACAAACAGGGAAAAUAUGGAGACAAAAGAGAAAAAAAAAAGAAAAAAAAAAAAAGAAAAAAAUGUUUUAAAUUCUCUGCAGUUGGAAUUUGCACCUUCCAGCCAGUGCACCAUGGAGGCCCACAAGAGCUGCAAGAAGUGCUUCAGUGUUGGAAGCACAGGGAAAAUCUGAACCUGAUUUCUUAACUUCCAUUCCACUUGCAGCACAGAAAUCUGUUUAAAAGCAAAGGCUUUGCCACCUGUGGUUUCCAAAAGUCACAGAAUUGUUUCUUCCAUUGAGCUAAAAAAAAAAAAAAAUCCGACCAAAACCCAAGCAUUAAAAAAUAAUCUUUUGCCAAUGAGUGGCGCUGCAGUGUCCCCAGAUCUCCCCAGCAGACAUGGAAAGGUAGCUAAGUAACAACUACCUCUGCCCAUUCCCACACACUGCACUGGUUGAACUUGAUUCCUUUUUUUUUUUUGUAAUUUAGAAAAAAUUCCCUUUUGGAAAAUGUGGUUUCAGCUGAGUUCUCUUUUUCUGUGGGAAGAUGUUGGUUUCAGCUGUGAUUCCAAAAAUGUAAUUUCGAAACAGCGAUUCGAACCAAGCCCUGCCCUUUCCCUGCCUCACCAUGCCUGGGGCAAGGUGGAUGUAUUCAUUCCACUUGGAUAUUUGUGAUCCUGGGGUUGGGGCAGGGGCAUUGCCAGCUCUCAGAAAUUUUGUGUUUUGGUGUUUCUUUGGGCACAAGGUGGGAAGGAGGGUUUGGAGCUGCUCAAGCCAGCACUGGAGUCACAGCAUUGGCACAGCCCUAGAAUCAUCUGACUUCCUACCACAGGGAAAAGUGUUCCAACCAAGGGCAGCUGCUUUCCAGCACUGCACCAGCCUGGGCUGUCUUUCCAGCAGCAAUGCACAGAGGACACCAGGAAUCCCACAAACAAACCUCAACCAGGAGAGAUAUUCUCCCAGCUGACCAUCAGCCUGGGGCUGUGCUGCAAAUAACUGGACAGACAGAGCAUCCCAUUAUCCUGCUGAAACCCACAGGAGCUCCUCGUGCCCAAGUCAAAGCCAAGUGUCCACCACUUGCCCAUCCAAAGCAGCUGAGGAGCUGCUUGUCAAACCAGGGGCCACUUUUAACUUUUUUUACACUUUUAACAGUGCUGCCACCUGAAUUACACGUUUGUGACCAGCCAGAGAAGAGGGUUGGGGAGACCAAGGGCUUGGCAGAGCUGGCAGCAAACCCCAGGGAUUAAUAACUGCACAUCCCUUAGCCCCAGGAGGAAACCUGAGGUCUGGGUGAAUCUACAGGACAUCCAUCCUUCAGACACACAAAAGAAAACCCCCUGCAAACAGUCAAGUUUUCAAUCGCUUUAAUGUGAUCACUGCAAUCUGACCACAGUUUCAGAAAGGCAAAAAAAAAAAAAAAAGUCACACAAAUUCUCUGUGCUUAGGAUUUGAGUCAAUCUGUGCAGCUCUUGUUGACUGACGUUAUUGAAGUUAAGACCUUCUGACCAUCAGUGAUGUUCUCAGCUGAAAGGCAGGACCGUGUGUAGGACAGAGUGGUGCAAACCAGGAAUGCUUCUUCUGGGCUUGGAGCUGGGCCACCCGAUCUGCUCCAAAGGAAACAGCUGUAGGUGCACCUGACCUGCUCCAAAGGAAACAGCUCUAUGUGCACACACACACAGGGAGCAGGGAAAUGCACCAGGAACCAGCUACAGCUCCCCGGGGACAGAGCUGGGGCUGUGCUCCACAACGAGGAAGGGGGAACCCACACAAAUAUCCAAAACUGAGCAGAUUCAUUUUCCAACAUUCAUAAGAAAAUAGGAAAACUGAAAUUACAUUGUGUUGACAAACUCUGGUUUUUCGUUUUGGUUUUUUGUUGUUGGGGUUUUUUUUGGGUAACAAAGCAAAAGGUGAAGGCAAAUUUUCCAAAGUAUUGUAAAAUUUAUUGUAUAAGUAUUGCAGCUUUUAGAAUGACAUAUAAUUGCCACUAUUGGUUACUGGUACACAAGAAGCGUUUACAACAGAUUUUUGUAAAUUGGCAUCAGAGUACAUAUUCAUACUAAAACAGCAAAAUAUAGAUAAGUACUGCAUUGCAUGUGCUGUCAAUAGUUUACAUAAGUUUAAAUUGAACAGAACUCAGGAUACAGGACUGCCUAUAACAAACUCCAAAGCCAACACAAUGCAACUGGAAGUUUAAGAAAAUAUUAAUACAAUGAAAUGUGUCUAUAAGGCAGGCAAAUUAGGACUUUAAUGUUGUCCUUCAUGAGCUUCUAUAGUACAGCAAAAAUUUGAAGCGCAGUUUCUGGAAAACUUCUUUUUGUUUUUUUUCUUUUGUUGUAGAUUUGUGUUGUACACAGAAUAUCUCUGAGCAGUUCAGAGACAGAAGAGAUUAAAAUUCAUUCUGUUCUGGCCUAGCACUGUUAAUGCUACACAUCUGAUUCAGUCUUUUCCCAAUCCUUAGGAAAAACAUUGGGCUUUGAUUUCUUUAUUUUUUUAAUAUAGCAGUUAGUGCAAUUUUAUAAUUCGAUAGACAUACAAAAGGGUGAUUCUCCAGAAAGCAACUGGAUUUCCUUAGACCCCACUUAAGACAGAAUGAAUUUUGUAACACUCAUGGAAACAACACGCUGGAUUAGUAAAGCUGAGUCUUCAAACCAGUGUAACCAAGGGUUGUGAAGGGAACACGUGUCAGCCCCAAAUGAAACCCAUCCUUCCACCCACCAGAACCAGCAAAGCCACGUUCCCAUUCCAGGCCAGUGAGGUUUGGGGGCACUUUAGGGACGCUGUUUGCCGUACUGUAAGCUAAGAAACUCUGUAAGAUCAACAACCCCUUUUAAAGCUAACGCGACUUAAAACUCCGAGCAAAAAGACAGGCUAGGACAUGAGGUUGCUAAGCAUUAGCAGUGCUUUGAUUCUUCUGCAUUUCUUUAAAAAUAAAUCACUUUUAAGGGGCCUGAAUCUCUGUGCUGGCAGCUGCAGGACACUCUAGCACCGCUCUCCACUGAGCUGCACCAAGGCCAGAGGAACGGGGCAUCAGCAAGGGUGUGCAAAGCAAAUUCCCUGCCUUGGUGGCAAUUUGGGACGUGGGAAUGGGGAAGAAAUGGACCCCGAGGCAAAAAGUAACAUUAAAUAGUAGUAAUAAUAAUAAUAACAACAAUAACAACAACAAUAAUAAUAAUAAAAAAAAGAACAGACCAUUAUUUCUAAACACCCAUUCAGAACUUGGGAGUUGAUCUGGGCCCCAGAUCUGUUAUCUGCACUUGAAAUACACAGUUCUCAGGACUGCAAAGAGAGGGAUGGACAGAAGAAAGACAAAAGAUAACAGCUGAGCUCUGCUGAGGAGCUGCACCCACGGCCUGGGACCUGGGGCUCUCCCCACUGGAGCUGCAGCAGACCAGGGAAAGGUGGCAGCCUGGGGAUUGUGCAAGGAUGGGCUGAAAGGCAUCAUUUGCAACAGAAAUUUGGUGUUGAUGAGCCACCCCAUUUCACACUCAUUAAGCUCCCCAAACUAGAGAAAGAGGUAAAUGAAAGUGGACCCAGGAACUCAACAAACUGAUCACUCAACCGCAGAGCUUGGGGUGACUCUAGACAAAUAAAAGCUCACACUGGGAGAGGAUUGGGGAGGGAGGAAAAAAAAUAGGGGGAAAAAUGAAUUGGUUGAAAUUUUGAGGACUUUCAAGCAUGAGAGCUGGGUUCAAUUGCACUGCAUCUUCAGACCCUCUCCCACUACCCCUCUGUGCCUAUCCAGCCCCUGCCCACUUCCCUGACUUUUCCACGGGGUUUGGUGGCCAGGUGACACCCUGUGACAAGACAAUCUCAUUUCUUAACAAGCUCUGGACCCCACACCACCUCUUUACUCACUGCUCAGUUUUAAACAUGUGAUGCAUAUUCCACCCAAAAUCUGCUGAGGUAACCGUAUUUUUUUUUAAUAGCAAACAAAACUAGUUCAGAUCACUGAACAACACGCCCCCCUCCCUCCCCCAAAAAAACAAAACAAAAAAACAAACACACCCAACCCCAACAACACUAUUCACGCAUUUUGGCUCAAGAGGGCAGUAGAUAUUAUAUUUCGCUUUCUCUUUUGGUUGGUAUCUCAUUUACAAUAUCCACCACAGAUUCCUACCUCCCCGGGUAGGAUAAUGUGCAUAAAACGUGUUCAAGUUCCCUAAGAACAGUCGGAGCAGAGCAGCGGCCAAGGGAGCAGCAGGUGUGGCCAGGCACAGGGAG
Molecule: long non-coding RNA, 6974 nt
Organism: Passer domesticus (house sparrow)
Lineage: Eukaryota; Metazoa; Chordata; Aves; Passeriformes; Passeridae
Exons: 2
Source: RefSeq, a predicted model, not a curated record